RNAcentral lists this non-coding RNA (765 nucleotides) under Thaumetopoea pityocampa (pine processionary moth). Lineage: Eukaryota; Metazoa; Arthropoda; Insecta; Lepidoptera; Notodontidae. The record is from RNAcentral.
UGAAAAAUUUAUUUUAAAUUUAUUUUACAUAUAAAUUUUAGUGUUAAUUAUUCUUUAUUUAAAUAAUUAAGAAAUGUUUUAUAUAGUAAUUAAUAUUAAAAAUUUAAGAAAUUAAGAUUUAGUAAUAUGGGAAUUAAUAACAAAUUUUGUGCCAGCAGUUGCGGUUAUACAAAAGUUAAAUUAAAUUUUAUUGGUAAUUAAUUAAUGAAUUUAGAUUAUAAGUAAAAUUUUAAAUUAUUAGGUGAAAUUUUAAUUUAAUUAAAACUUAUUAAAAUUUAUGAUUUAAUAAUUUUUAUAAUAAACUAGGAUUAGAUACCCUAUUAUUGAUUUUUAAAUUAAAAAUACUAAAAUAGUAAAUGAUUUAAAAAUUGAAACUUAAAUAAUUUGGCGGUAUUUUAGUUUAUUUAGAGGAAUCUGUUUAAUAAUUGAUAGUCCACGAAUAAAUUUACUUAAUUUUUAAUUUUGUAUAUCGUUGAUUAUAAAAUAUUUUUUAAUAAAAAUAAUAUUUUGAAAAUUUUUAUUUGAGAUUAAAUCAAAUCAAGAUGCAGAUUAUAAUUAAGAAUAUAAUGGAUUACAAUAAGUUUAAUUUAAAUGAAUAUUAUUUUUUAAUAAUUAAAUUGAAGGUGGAUUUAAAUGUAAUUUUAUUUAGUUUAAUGAAAUGAUUUAAAAUUAAAAUAUGUACAUAUUGCCCGUCGCUUUCAUAUAUUUAAAUUGGGAUAAGUCGUAACAAAGUAGAGGUACUGGAAAGUGUUUCUAGAAAGUUCA